GACGAACGCUGGCGGCGUGCCUAAUACAUGCAAGUUGAGCGCUGAAGGUUGGUACUUGUACCAACUGGAUGAGCAGCGAACGGGUGAGUAACGCGUGGGGAAUCUGCCUUUGAGCGGGGGACAACAUUUGGAAACGAAUGCUAAUACCGCAUAAAAACUUUAAACACAAGUUUUAAGUUUGAAAGAUGCAAUUGCAUCACUCAAAGAUGAUCCCGCGUUGUAUUAGCUAGUUGGUGAGGUAAAGGCUCACCAAGGCGAUGAUACAUAGCCGACCUGAGAGGGUGAUCGGCCACAUUGGGACGGAGACACGGCCCAAACUCCUACGGGAGGGAGCAGGAGGGAAUCUUCGGCAAUGGAAGAAAGUCUGACCGAGCAACGCCGCGUGAGUGAAGAAGGUUGUCGGAUCGUAAAACUCUGUUGGUAGAGAAGAACGUUGGUGAGAGUGGAAAGCUCAUCAAGUGACGGUAACUACCCAGAAAGGGACGGCUAACUACGUG
Molecule: ribosomal RNA, 497 nt
Filed under: uncultured bacterium
Lineage: Bacteria
Description: partial 16S ribosomal RNA
Rfam family: Bacterial small subunit ribosomal RNA
Source: RNAcentral